UACGUAGGGUCCGAGCGUUGUCCGGAGUUACUGGGCGUAAAGCGCAUGUAGGCGGCAGCGCAAGUCGGGCGUGAAAUCCCACGGCUCAACCGUGGAAGUGCACUCGAAACUGCGCAGCUAGAGUCCUGGAGAGGAAGGUGGAAUGCUUGGUGUAGAGGUGAAAUUCGUAGAUAUCAAGCGGAACACCGGUGGCGAAGGCGGCCUUCUGGACAGUGACUGACGCUGAGAUGCGAAAGCGUGGGGAGCAAACAGG
This 253-nucleotide ribosomal RNA is filed under the name uncultured bacterium. RNAcentral's name for it is "partial 16S ribosomal RNA". It matches the Rfam family "Bacterial small subunit ribosomal RNA", at positions 524 to 776 of the family's 1533-position model. The record is from RNAcentral.